This 329-nucleotide ribosomal RNA is filed under the name uncultured bacterium. Its description in RNAcentral is "bacterial SSU rRNA". It matches the Rfam family "Bacterial small subunit ribosomal RNA", at positions 29 to 377 of the family's 1533-position model. The record is from RNAcentral.
AACGAACGCUGGCGGCAUGCCUAACACAUGCAAGUCGAACGGGAUCCUAGCUUGCUAGGUGAGAGUGGCGGACGGGUGAGUAACACGUGGGAAUCUGCCUUUUGGUUCGGGAUAACCGCGGGAAACUGCGGCUAAUACCGAAUGCCCUCGAGAGAGGAAAGAUUUAUCGCCAGAAGAGGAGCCCGCGUCCGAUUAGGUAGUUGGUGGGGUAAAGGCCUACCAAGCCGACGAUCGGUAGCUGGUCUGAGAGGAUGAUCAGCCACACUGGGACUGAGAUACGGCCCAGACUCCUACGGGAGGCAGCAGUGGGGAAUAUUGGACAAUGGGGG